Candidatus Omnitrophus sp. is the source of this 87-nucleotide transfer RNA. It matches the Rfam family "tRNA". Rfam says of the family: Transfer RNA (tRNA) molecules are approximately 80 nucleotides in length. Lineage: Bacteria; Pseudomonadati; Candidatus Omnitrophota. The record is from Rfam.
GGAGAGGUGCUGGAGUGGUUGAUCAGGCUUGCCUGGAAAGCAAGUGUGCGGGAAACCGUACCCAGGGUUCGAAUCCCUGCCUCUCCG